This 593-nucleotide unclassified non-coding RNA is filed under the name Hevea brasiliensis (rubber tree). The record is from RNAcentral. Lineage: Eukaryota; Viridiplantae; Streptophyta; Magnoliopsida; Malpighiales; Euphorbiaceae.
GGAGGAUUCGGUUGAUGGAGCUGGAGGAGGAGGAGAGGUCGGAGAGGGAGAGGAAGCUCUUCGAGGAGCGUGAAAGGGCAUGGAUGGAGGCUAUGGAGUUGAAGAAGAAGAAGAUGGCUGAGGAGGAAGAAGAAGAGCAGCAACGGAGAGCGCUGGAAGAAGAAUCGACGGCGCGGCAGGCUGAAAAUGAAAACGAGUUUAAUGGGGAAGAUGGUUGGGAAUACAUUGAAGGGCCUGCAGAAGUAAUCUGGAAAGGAGAAGAGAUAAUUUUGAAGAAGAAACUGAUUAAGGUUCCCAAGAAAGGCGUUGCACCUGAGAAAAGCCUUGAGGAUGCUCAUAGGCCUACAUCAAACCCUCUUCCUCCGCAAUCGGAAGCUUUUACAGAUUAUAAGAAUGCACCAAUUUCAACUAGACAAGUGAUUGAGGAUGUUGCAAGCCAAGUGCCAAACUUUGGAACUGAACAGGAUAAAUCACAUUGUCCAUUUCAUCUUAAAACUGGAGCUUGUCGAUUUGGUCAACGUUGUAGCAGAAUUCACUUCUACCCUGACAAAUCGUGUACAUUACUUAUCAAGAACAUGUAUAAUGGUCCUGGC